AGGAAGCAGGAAAUCCUUUUCCUCUCACGUUUACAUCCCAUUCAUUCUUCCUCCGGGCAAUUCAAGUCCAUUCACAGCCGCCACAGAUGCACGUGUGCACGCGCGCAGCUGCACCUUUAAAGAAACUCUCAAGUCCUGGCGGCCAGAAAACCAGCUUUCAGGCGGGGCGGUGGGGCUCCCCCUCCCCUUGCUUCGUCUCUGCAGAUCUUUGUGCUCUAGGGAGGGAUGGCCGCACAUUCUGACGAGGACGAGGGUGGUGCAUAACGCGGAGGUCAAUUUUGCACAGUCCAGGCAAAAGAGACCCCCCCCCCCCACCAACAUCCCUUCCUGUUCAGUUUCCCUCUCUGGCCCAGCGCGAAGGGCGAGGGGCGACAGAAGCCCGAGGGACAGAAAACCGAGGCUCCUCAGUGGCCGAGUUGGGAGAGAGUGUGAGUCCAGGAGAGCCCGGGGGCAGCAGGGAGAGGGUGCAGAAGCUCGAGCGCACCGAGCCAGAGGCCCCCUCUUCUCCCGCCACGCGGGGCUGGAGGUGCAGGCGCCGGUUCCGCGGCGUGGCCCGGCUAUGUGUCGCUCCUCCGCGCGCCGCCCGCCGCAGCCCGUGCCCUCGGGCCGCCGCCGCCGCCGCUGCCCCCCGUCGAGCCCGCGGCCGCACCCUCGGGCCGAUACUUGAGCCAGCAGAUGACCCAGGUGACAACGACCGAGAAGAGUGCCAGGAUGCUGGCCACCGACAGGCAGAUGGGCCCCACGGGCGAGGGCGAGGGCGACCCGGUGGCCGGUGCCUCGCCAGGGGGCGCCCCGCCUCCGGGGGUUCCCCCGCCGCCGUAGUGGUUGACGAAGAUGAGGCCGGUGAAGAGCAGCACCACCAUGGAGAGGAAGGAGAAGACCACGCACACGCAGCCAGCGUGCAAUACAGUUGACCCUUGGACAACAUGGAUUGGAACCGUGCAGGUCUACUAACUAAUACACAGAUUCUCUUCCACCUAUGCCACCCUUGAGACAGCAAGACCAACCCCUCCUCUUCCUCCUCCUUUUCAGUCCACUCAAUGUGAAGACAAGGAAAAUGAAGAACUUUAUGAUGAUCCAUGCUAUUAGUCUGUUCUCACACCGCUAAUAAAGACAUACCCGAGACUGGGUAAUUUAUAAAAGAAAGAGGUUUAAUGGACUCACAGUUCUACAUGGCUGCGGAAGCCCCACAAUCAUGAUGGAAAGCAAAGGAGGAGCAAAGUCACGUCUCACAUGGUAGCAGGCAAGAGAGCAUGUGUGGGGGAACUUCCCUUUAUAAAACCAACAGAUCUCGUGAGACCUAUUCACUAUCACAAGAACAGCAUGGGAAAACCCACCCUCAUGAUUCGAUUACCUUCCACCAAUUCCCUCCCACUAUACGUGGAGAUUAUUACAAUUCAAGAAUAAGGAGUUGUAAUCGUUGCCUCCAGUAGUGGGAGAAGAGAAAGAGCCGGGUCACUUGGAUGUGUGGACAGUUGCUGAGAAGAGCAGAAGAAAAGAAAAAAGACAGGCAACAUACACAAAAUGAACCGCUUUUUUGCUUGAAUCAAAUCCUAUUGAUUAAUCCCUUUACAUUGUUUACUAAAAAUGCAAUACAACUUUGUCAGGAAAUAUUUGUUUGAGUUGUUGGCAGACUGACAGAAUUAAUGCACUGUUUGGAUAAUUCCACCAUCGAUGUCCCUUAUUCAUGUCACUGUAUUUCAAAGUUGGCCAGCUGCCACUGCUGCUGUUUUGAAAUAACUUGGAGCUGAAACUCAAGACAAUGGCCACACUGUCCUUUUAUUCUGUUGCACGAAAUAAUUUUCCAAAAUAAUCAUGUCACUAAGUCUCUCUCUAGAUCUAAUGGCCUAUAAUUUGAAACAAGGGAACUGCUGAUAUGGUGAGAAAUGGUUUUGUCAUUUAAUUUGUCAAGCUUCCAACUACUCAUUUAUUCUCUAAGCAAGGUUGCAGCCAAAUCUAUAUUUCAAAAUUCACUUAUAAUUGAUUGAAAAUAUUGUUUCUUAAGAGCUGCUUGACUAAAGAAGGUGUCCUAGAAGGCCUCGUCCUCUGUCUUCGUCUGUUCAGGCUGCUAUAACAAAAUACCAUAGACUGGUGGUUUAUAAGCAACAGAAAUCUAUUUCUUGCAGCACUGCAGGCUGGAAGUCCAAGGUCAAGGCGCUGGCUGAUUCAGUGUUUGGUAAGAAUCCACCUCCUGGUUCAUAGUCAGUGCCUUCUCACUGUGUCCUCACUAGGUGGAAGAAUAAUACUCUGAUCUCUUCAGUUCCAUCAAAGGGCACUAAUCCCAUUUGUGAAAGUUCCACCCUCAUGGCCUAAUCACCUUCCAGAAACUCCAUCUCCUAAUGCCACCACACUGAGAAUUAAGUUUUAGCAUAUGAAUUUUGUGGGGACACAACAUUUAGUCCAUAGCAUCCUCCCAUUUUUUAAUAUGUAAAAAUUCAAACAUGCACAAAGUUUGAAAAAAAUAACACAAUGAAUACCUGCACAGCCUCACCUAGACUCAACAAUGAACAGCAUUUUCACAUGUGUAUUAGUCAGCUUGAGCUGCUAGAACAAAGUGCCAGAAACUUGAUGGCUUAUACAACAGAAAUUUACUUUCUGACAGUUCUGGAGGCUGAAAGUCUGAGAUCAAGGUGUUGGCAGGGUUGGUUCUGAAGCUUCUCUCCUUGGCUUGUAGCUGGCCGUCCUCCCCCUCUGUCUUCACAGUAUCCUGUCUCUGCGUGGCUGUCUGUGUUUUCUCUUCUCUUCUUAUAAGACAUCAGUCAUAUUGGAGUAGGGCCCACCCUAACCACCUCAUUUUAAUUUAAUCACCUCUUUAAAGAGCCACUCCAAAUAUAGUCACAUUCUGAGGUACUGGGGGUUAGUAUUUUAACAUACAAAUUUAGGGGGUGGACACAAUUCAACCCAUAACAUUAUAUUUGCUUUAUCUCUUUCUUUCUAUAAUAUAUAGGCAUAUUGAUUUGAUAAUCCAUUAGAAGACAUAUUAUAGACAUUAUGACAUCUCACUCCUAAACAUGUCACUUUGCAUCAUUUAAGAAUAAGGAUGAUCUCCUACAUAACCUUAAUGCCAUUAUCACAUCGAAGAAAAUUUAAAUUUGUAUUAAUCCAUAUUCAGUUGUCCAAAUGUUUUUUUAUGGCAGUUUUUAUUUUCCUGCAUAAUUACCCAAUAAAGUUCAUACAUUGGCUUUGGGUGUUAUUUCUUUUUAGUCAUUUUAAAUUUAGAAGAGUCUCCCCAUCCCUAUAGCUCAUCUUUUUUUUUCUAUGACAUUGACUUUUUGAAAACCCCAGAUGAGGUAUCUAUAGAAUGUUGCACAUUUUGAAUUCGCCUAAUUAUUUCUUUAUGAUAACAUGUAACAUUUUCUUCUCUACACUGUGUUUAUAUAAACCAGAAGUUAGAUGUGGUUAGACUGCAAAACUGACAGUAUUUUUCCUAUUAAGUGGUGCAGUCUGUUUCUCCCCUAGACUCUGGGCCUGGCCAUAUGGCUUGGUUUGGCCAAUGGGAUAGUAGCAAAUGUGGCACAGCAGAGGCUUGCUACAUGCUUGUGUGCUGGGUUUGCUCAUCUUUGCUGCUCUUGGGAGUCCUGUGGCUCUCAAGUCUGCUGCUUAAUGAGAAACAUGUGGCCAAGUCAUCCCCAUCUCCUCAAAUGACAUCAGGAAUGAAGCCAUUCUCAACCAGAUGGCUCCAACCAGAGAAUCAUUUAUCUGACCCACAGAACAGUAUAAAAGAAUACAUUGUUGCUGUUCUAAGCCACCAAGUUCCCAGAUGAUCAGUUUUGCAACAAGAGCAAUUGAUGCACAUCUAGAGGCUUGAUUAAAUGUUUCAGCAGGAAUACUUCAUAGAUGAUCUGUGUGCUUCUAGCACAUCAGAAGGCUCAUAAUGUUAAAAGGAGGUUUACUUUUGAACCUGGGUAAAUGUGGAUUAAGGGAAACAAACAUCAACAUAGUCAUUCCUCAAGUUAGCAUCUCUCCUGGGUUUUAGUACUAUCUGGUCAUCUUUUAGCCAUCAGGGCUUGUAGGGCACUAAUAGGGACAAGUAGCGAUGUUCCUCCCUGAUGUUCAGAAUGACCUAUGCCCAAAGAUAGCCGCAGCAUUUGUCAAGAGGAGGACAUUAUUUCACCAGGUUAUAGCCACAUAUAAUAUUAUUCCAAAGUCAUGCUGAUUAAUAUAUUUCUAAGGACUUUGUUCAACCCAGUUUUGGGGGUGUGCCUAUUCCUUUUUUAUUUGACACAAUCAAGCUGAUACCUUAAGAUGACCAAAUCAAAAAAAAAAAAAGAUGACCGAAUCAAUAACUAUUGCAUUCUUGAGCAUUUAAAAUAAGUAGUUAGCCAUUUAAUACAAGAAUAAAACAAGAGUUUUCUCUCAGUACCAGCAGAAAGGUGAAGAAAUUACGAAAUUGUGGCAUUGUUUUGAUCAGAAGAUGAAAUCAAAUUUUAAAAGCUAAAGAAAUGCAAGAGAAGAAGAAAAAAAGCAUUUGUGUUGAUCAUCUACAAUGCCCAGGCCCUCGUGGGAAAUCUUCCCAUUUGCUAUGGCAGGAAGGCAACACUACUCAAAUAAUCCAACAUUUGAGGUUCUUAUCAAACUCCAACUAUUUAUUUGUCAUUGAACAGAACCCACUCUGGAAUAAAAAAAAAAUGGAAACAAAUAGCUGAACCCAAAUCUAUUUAUUUAAAACAAGCAUAUGUAAUAACAAUAAAAAGAGACUAGAAGGAAACAUAAUUAUUCUUUCAGGUGAUCUUUUUUGUUUGUCCUCAACUUAUCUACAGGUAAUUUCAUGUGAUUUUUGUGUUCUCUUUGCUCUUUGUUGUGUUUUUUUUAGUUUUUAAAAUACUGAGUAUAUGCUACUUUUAUAAUUAGGAACAAAAUUGUAAAUGAAGUUAAUAAGACAUUUAGAAGUUGAAAAAAGAAAGUAUGGUAUCCUUAUAAACUUCUUCUCUGUAAUAUUUUAAAAUAAGAUUGAAUUUUAUAUUGUAUUAUAUAAUUUCUUUAAAAUGUGCAAAAGCAGAGAAUAUCACCAACCCUCAUGAAUUCAUCAUAGGGCUUCAGCAAUUGUCACCAAUUUGCCACACUAAUCUCCCCUAGGCUUUCUCUCUCUUUCUUUUUUUUUAGUUCUUAAAGCAAACUCCAGACAUCACAUUAUUUUAGCCCUAAAGCACACAUUUUGUUAUGGUUUAAAUGUUUUGAAAACUGAAUCCCCAAUGAAACAGUGUUGGGAGGUAGGGCCUAAUAAGAGGUGUAAUCACCUAAUGGUCAUGAGGGAUUCGUGCCAUUACUGGGAAAGAAAGUUCCUUAUAAAAGGAUGAGUGCAACCUGCUUUUGCCUUUCUCUUUCACCUUCUCUUUGCCCUUGUGCAACGGGAUGACGAAGAAAGAAGGCCCUCACUGGAUGUUGCUCCCUUCAUCUUGAGUUCUCUAGUCUCUGGAACCAUGAAUCAAUAAAUUUCUGU
RNAcentral lists this long non-coding RNA (5440 nucleotides) under Homo sapiens (human). RNAcentral's name for it is "non-protein coding lnc-CCDC140-1:15". The record is from RNAcentral. Lineage: Eukaryota; Metazoa; Chordata; Mammalia; Primates; Hominidae.